GAUGAACGCUGGCGGCGUGCCUAAUACAUGCAAGUCGAGCGAACAGACGAGGAGCUUGCUCCUCUGACGUUAGCGGCGGACGGGUGAGUAACACGUGGAUAACCUACCUAUAAGACUGGGAUAACUUCGGGAAACCGGAGCUAAUACCGGAUAAUAUAUUGAACCGCAUGGUUCAAUAGUGAAAGACGGUUUUGCUGUCACUUAUAGAUGGAUCCGCGCCGCAUUAGCUAGUUGGUAAGGUAACGGCUUACCAAGGCAACGAUGCGUAGCCGACCUGAGAGGGUGAUCGGCCACACUGGAACAGAGACACGGUCCAGACUCCUACGGGAGGAAGCAGUAGGGAAUCUUCCGAAAGGGGCGAAAGCCUGACGGAGCAACGCCGCGGGAGGGAUGAAGGUCCUCGGAUCGUAAAACUAUGUUAUUAGGGAAGAACAAAUGUGUAAGUAACUAUGAACGUCUUGACGGUACCUAAUCAGAAAGCCACGGCUAACUACGUG
This 497-nucleotide ribosomal RNA is filed under the name uncultured bacterium. RNAcentral describes it as "partial 16S ribosomal RNA". It matches the Rfam family "Bacterial small subunit ribosomal RNA", at positions 28 to 507 of the family's 1533-position model. The record is from RNAcentral.